This 442-nucleotide ribosomal RNA is filed under the name Salmonella enterica. RNAcentral's name for it is "partial 23S ribosomal RNA". It matches the Rfam family "Bacterial large subunit ribosomal RNA", at positions 137 to 617 of the family's 2925-position model. The record is from RNAcentral. Lineage: Bacteria; Pseudomonadati; Pseudomonadota; Gammaproteobacteria; Enterobacterales; Enterobacteriaceae. RNAcentral also lists the same sequence under 3 other names.
GAUUCGUCACACUAUCAUUAACUGAAUCCAUAGGUUAAUGAGGCGAACCGGGGGAACUGAAACAUCUAAGUACCCCGAGGAAAAGAAAUCAACCGAGAUUCCCCCAGUAGCGGCGAGCGAACGGGGAGGAGCCCAGAGCCUGAAUCAGCAUGUGUGUUAGUGGAAGCGUCUGGAAAGGCGCGCGAUACAGGGUGACAGCCCCGUACACAAAAGCGCAUGUGCUGUGAGCUCGAUGAGUAGGGCGGGACACGUGGUAUCCUGUCUGAAUAUGGGGGGACCAUCCUCCAAGGCUAAAUACUCCUGACUGACCGAUAGUGAACCAGUACCGUGAGGGAAAGGCGAAAAGAACCCCGGCGAGGGGAGUGAAAAAGAACCUGAAACCGUGUACGUACAAGCAGUGGGAGCACCCUUCGGGGUGUGACUGCGUACCUUUUGUAUAAUG